RNAcentral lists this ribosomal RNA (338 nucleotides) under Pheidole boruca. Its description in RNAcentral is "partial 12S ribosomal RNA". The record is from RNAcentral. Lineage: Eukaryota; Metazoa; Arthropoda; Insecta; Hymenoptera; Formicidae.
UUAUAAUUAAAAAAUUAAUUAAAAAAAUAUUAAAUGAGUUCAUUAAAUUUAGAUUAUUUGGCGGUAUUUUAAAUAAUUAGAGGAAUUUGUUAAUUAAAUGAUAUUCCACGAAUGGAGGGUCCUGAUAAAGUUUUAUGUAUUGUUGUAUUAAAAUUAUUUUAGGAAUUAUGAUUAAGAAAUUUAAUAUAAUUUGAAUUCAAAUCAAAAUGUAGAAUUAUUAGGUUUAAAUGAAUUACAAUUUAAUAUAGUAUUGGAUUUAUAUUUUUAAAUAUAUAAUGAAAUAGGAUUUAAGAGUAAAUUUAAGAAAGUAUUUAAAUUGAAAUAUUAAUUAAAAUAUG